GUCAAGAAUAAAAAUUGAAACUUAAAAUAAAAAUAAAAGUUUAACAGAUGGAGGUGGCCAGACCCUAAGGAAGGAGUCAAAUGGGUCCCGAAACAUUGGGUUUAUUAAAUUCUAAUUAUUGUUUGAUGUUAUUAAAUCCACAAUUAGACCCCUGUGUUUACAAACCAGUUUUUCAAUCUUCUCCUUUGCAGGUCAUCACAAAAUGGUCUCAAAAGCUACAAGAAAACUAGGGACAUUUAGAUGGUGCUUUAAUUGGCAAAGUAAUAAUGAUGAUUACAGUGCUGCUGUCACAUCCUCUGGCCUGCACUAGCACUGGCAGAUCCCGAGGGGGACAUGCCGGCUGACAGUUUUGAGCAUGCAGUAAGCCCCCACCAUCUCGGCAUGCAUUGAUGCAAGCCCCUGGAGGCUGCCCUUGAUCCACCGAUGUGCACGUCUGCAGAAGCUCGCUAUUAGCACACUCAGACCUCAGAAAAGAUGCCUACGUGUGGUUCCUAAACAGGUGGCAGGUACGUUCUUCUCGUGAUGGAGUUCCCGAGCGGCCUGCGAGAAGGACGGAGCAGCAACACAAGCGGCGGCAGGCCGACCGCGAGUCGGCCGACCCCAAAUUGGUCGCACCUGCAGAUCGCUGUCAAGAUACGGCACGCGCUGCUGCGCAAACUAUGCAGUUGCUACCAGAGUACAAGACGCCCCCCCCCCCUCCCCCCCCGCACUGCCUUCCCGCUUUCCUCCCUUGUGCGCGAUUCCGCUCACCGUCGGACGCUCUCACUCGCACAUACAGCAUAUGGUGCACGAGGACGGUGUUAUCGCCCUUGGACUUUAUAUGGAACAUGGCGGCAACCACGACGGCAGAAAUGCACCUGGAGUGGUAAUAUACGGCACCCAUACGCUUGCGCGUGACCCCCGUUCACGGAGCGAAACAUCACUGUAAUUGUUUUUUUAAUCGCUUACCGAACGAACGGGUGCAUCUUAUAAACCGGUGCGACUUAUAUAUGUUUUUUCCUCCCGGAAAAACUGCCGUUUUGAGGGGGGUGCGUCUUAUACAAAGGUGCAACUUAUAGACGAGAAAAUACGGUACAUGAAAAUGAGGACAUAGAAUAUCAAUGCCGUCGGUGUGAUGUGCGAGGAAUUGAUAGCGAAGGCACAUUGAUGCAAGUGCCAGCCCUUUUAUAUUGACUUCGACAUGCAAUAAAAAUGCGUUAUUAGUCAGUUCUGUGUUUGUCGAUGCUCAUUUUCAUCCUGUUCUUUAUGGUGGGGUGACCUUUUUAUGCAAUCGCUUUCAGGUAUACAAUCACUUUCGCAAGAUUUAGGGUGACCUGGCACUGGACGUGGUGGCAUAUACAGCCACCAGCGUUCCUGACACUGUGCCAAGCUUGCUGUUCUUGCACAGUGUCAGAAAUGCUGCCAGAGUGCGCAUCAGCAUGUCCUGUGCUGUCUCCGUGUUUCAGAUUGAAACAAAUGACAGUCAAUACAAAUGUUACUCAUGCUGCUCUAUCGUCACAGCAUCGAGCGCUUAGCAUAUAUGCUAUUAACAGAGAUAUGGGGUUCAAGCAAAUAACAUUACUC
Molecule: long non-coding RNA, 1563 nt
Organism: Dermacentor silvarum
Lineage: Eukaryota; Metazoa; Arthropoda; Arachnida; Ixodida; Ixodidae
Exons: 3
Source: RefSeq, a predicted model, not a curated record